CACACAAAUCACUCAAAUAGUCCUUUUGUUUUCAAAAGUACAUCACCUAUUAGAGAUAUGCAAAAAUCUCUCAACAAAAAAAUUAAAUUUUCAUAAAUAUCUCAAAACCAAAAGCACGGAGGUUUAUUAUUAAAAUAGGACAAGUUUGCCCUUCCUUACUAAUUUCUUAACCAAAUUUAAAACAAAACGACAACUCAUCUCUUCUUCUUCUUCUUCCUUUUCCUUCACCAUCCUCUCUCAUCACCGUCACAUCAUUGCCGUCGUUCAGCCGCUGCUUCAUUCCGCCGUUACUUCGUUCCGCCAUUCCGCCGUUAUUCUGUUUCUCCGUUACUCUGUUCUGCAUUUACUCCGUUCUGCCAUUCCUCCGCCCUGCUAUUCCUCCAUUCCUCCGCUCUGCAUUUCUUCUUAAAAUCGACGCUGAGCCUCUGUUUUGGACUUGCCAAGCCAGGCCCUGUAAUGGAAACAUUCGGCUCAGAUGAACUAAUGUCACGUCAUGUGAAAUUGGAUGAAGUUAUUAUUACGAUGGUGCUUAAAUUAGAGCAAAUACGAUGAGUUUUAUGUAGCAUCGAUUAUAGUUCCGUAGCACCGACGCCAUUUGCAGCAGUAGUCAUUGAUUUUUGGAACGUAAAAGGCGGUCGUCGGAG
Molecule: long non-coding RNA, 644 nt
Organism: Mercurialis annua (annual mercury)
Lineage: Eukaryota; Viridiplantae; Streptophyta; Magnoliopsida; Malpighiales; Euphorbiaceae
Exons: 3
Source: RefSeq, a predicted model, not a curated record